GCCAGGAAACCGAGAACGGAAUGCCAAUACUGCUUAGGCUUAGAAUUUGAAAGGCAUCUGAUUUCACUGCCAUGUCUUUGAAAAGCAGUGCACAGUGCAGUCUUCUUCGUGGCUGAACAGCCACUCUAUGUCUUUUGAUUGGAGAGUUUAAUCAAACAGAAGGAGUCUUCCAUUGUGGCCACCACAGCUGGGAAUGAGCUAAGGUCUUGCUAUGUUGCCUAGACUGGUUUUGAACUCCUGGGCUGAAGCAAUCCUCCCACUUCGGCCUCUCAAAGUGCUGGGAUAUCAGACAUGAGCCACCUGCCAUGCUUGGCCUAUAAUCAUGAAAAGAUCAACCCCAAGAAAGAAAAGGAAACAUGGAAGGACCUGGACUGGAGUCACACCAGUACAAGGAGGAUGCUGGCAAAGAUGAGACUAGUCAAGUGGAGCAGUGGGAGUGAAGAUGGAAUAAAGAAAUCCAUAACUGGUUGUGAUUAAGUAGUUGUAAACACCAACUGCACUCAGACCAACCCAUAUAUAUAUUUUUAAUUGUAAGCAUAGUAUAUAUAAAGCUUCAAUUCCUGCUUUUUUUUUACCUAACAUUAUAUCAUAUGCAUUUUCCAUACUGUUUCACAAUUCCUUGUAUUCGUAAUUGUUUAAUCCUGCAAAAUAAUGCUUCGAAUGAACAUAUGAUCAUUUCCUUAAGUAUUCCCCUACUAUUAGAAGUGAAGUUUCUUCCAGCAUUUUUCUCUUUGCUGUGAUGAAUAUUUUUAGGUAUAGAGAUUUUUCAGUUUGGUAAUGAGUUUUUGAAAAUCUACUUUACCAAAAACAAAGAAAACCCAUGUCUUUCUUUAGUACCUUUGCCAAGAUAUUACUUUUACUUGACGUUCAACAAGUAUAGGAUGAAAGUACACAAGUCUGCAAGGGACCUUGGAAGUAACUUGUUUCUGUCUAAUUUCUAUAUAAUUUCCAGGAGAUAGUCAUACAGCUUUAAUUUGAUCACAUCCACUAGUUUUGGCAUUGGUAUUGCCAUAUUGAUUAUGGACACAUAAAACUGUAACUCCUGGAGCCAACCUCUCAGGCUUUCCUACAUGAAACCAAUGCCACCAUCCCACCCGCACUCUAGCACCUUCUAUCCACUGAUUUUAGUCAUUGACUUGCUCUCUUCCUCUUUCUGUUUGUCGUCUUCCAGUUUGUCUCUUUCAUUCCUCCCCUCCCUUCUCUAUCCUGCUCUCUGACCCAAGAGGCUGACCUGUAUGAACCACAUCAGUGAUUGGCUGGUGGGGCCCCCCAGCAAAGAGGAUGGAGUGAAGUGAGGGUAUUUACUUGCUUAAUUGCCUCCAGGCUGGGUCACUCACAGCUGGCCAUGUCCUUCCAUCAAAGAUCAGAGCUCUCCUCAAGGUAGCCCUCUCCACAAACUUUCUUGAGUUUCUCUUUCUGGGUUUUGUUAACCAUUUUCUCAACUUGUCCCUUCAUGCCUAGAGGUAAUAGCAGGCGGGGAAUGCUGUGCUAUUCCAUUUGGUUUUCCUGCACCCUUCCCACGUUUGUAUGUAGUCUCUUUCAUCAAAGUACUGGGACUGUCCUAAUUCAAAUGUGCCAUCUGUUUUGUUUCCUGCUAAGAACUGUUCAACUCACUCUGGAUACACUCAAUAAAUAUAACUCAGACUGUCACAAUA
RNAcentral lists this long non-coding RNA (1655 nucleotides) under Pan troglodytes (chimpanzee). Its description in RNAcentral is "lincRNA". Lineage: Eukaryota; Metazoa; Chordata; Mammalia; Primates; Hominidae. The record is from RNAcentral.